GCGUUGAGGGGUUUUUUGUUGUUGUUUUUUAUGCUGUCGUUGCUUUGUUUUUAAAUGUUUCCUCAUAAGGCUGUUGUAGUUCAGUUGCUCAGAGUAAGCGUAAAUAAAAUGAAUGGGUUGAAUACGUGAUUUCAUACUUUGUGCUGGGAGGACUGGGUAUCCCCAUCUAGCAAUUUAUGCACUCUCUAAAGCAGAGCUGGAUUAUUCCAAAUGAACGUAGGUAGAACUGGGAGAAAUAAGGAAGAUCCUUCUAUGAUUGGUAUUAUGCUCCUGACUUGCAACCUCAUACAGCAGUACAAUUCAUAAAAAGCACAAAGAUGAAGUGUAUAAAAUAAGAAAAAAAUAUGCAUCAGAUGAAUCUGAGAGACUGUCAGAUCCUAACAUAUACCAGCCAUUUUCAGUAAGUAAACAAAAUACAAGAGUUGUGAAUGGGAUUCUGAAAAUACAUCAGCAAUAGUUUGAUUAUUUAAUUACUUUGUAAAGGAAACAGAAUCAGUAUGUUCAAAGAUGAUUUGCAAACAAAUGAAGAAAGCCCAAGGUUCAGUGCCUGUCAACAAGUACUGAAAUGUGUCCUGCCCUAUCUGUUCAUCUGUCCUCCUCCCAGUGACCUCAGUUAAUGAAUGUCAAAAUUCUGUAGUAGGUAAGAUGAAUCUAGUCAUCUUCUUUCCCAUCUAGAUAGUCUUAUUUAGCCAUAGUGACAUGGAAAGCUUCCACGAGGUGAGGGGUCUACAAAGCAAAUAAUCUCAGAUGAUCCCUUAAGUAGUCACUGUACAGGGACACUUUCUCAGAUCAUAGAUGGCUCAGUAUUUUUAUACAAACAACUCAUGCUGUUUCUAAGUGUUCCUGCUGCUGGACACUGGAAGAAUCUCAGCAAAGGCACUGAUUUUCAGAGCUGUGAUAAGGUAACUGCAAAUGAUUUAAUGUCCAUACUGUAAGAGAAGUUAAUUUAUCACAGGAGAAUGAAUUCAGAAAAUAACUCACUUCUGCUAAUGUAAUAUCUUCUUAGAAACUUAGUUUCGUUUUUUCAUGCGGGUAACAAUCUUUAUUAAUCUCUAUCAUUUGACUGGCACACAUUCCAAUUUUUAGAUGAUUUUUCUCCAGUACUUGAAAAGUAUAUUACCUAAAAAAAAGAAUACACUCUGGAAUCUAAGUGUAAAGUAUGCAUACGUUAUGCAGUAACAUCAAGGCAGAAUUAGACUGUACUUUGAGACAAGAUAUAGUAUCUGUCGCUCCUGUGAAUCAGACUUGAUUAAAUUCCCUACAGAGACAAAGGUUCAAAAGUUCCCAGUUUAAUAAAACAUGGCAGAAAAUGUGGGAAAUAGCUGAGGAUGUGAAGCUUUUGCACUGUGAACGGAUCUAUUUCUGAAAUAUAUGCAUUUUCUCUGUACACAGCUAUUCUCCAUAAAAAUACAUUUUUCUUAAAUAAAUUCAGUGGUUGCCCUGUUCACAUAAUGCAUGUAAAACACCUUACCCUACCCUAGGUAUAGCUCUGCGUACUCGAAACAGGAACAGAAAUUUCAGUAAAGCAUGUUGCAAACUAGAAUUUUUCAGGUCUGCUGCUAAUUAAAAUAUCUUUUUUUUCUUUAGUCUGACCUAUCCUCUCUCAAUUUUUUCACAG
Long non-coding RNA from Gallus gallus (chicken), 1618 nucleotides. NCBI's taxonomy places the organism in Eukaryota, Metazoa, Chordata, Aves, Galliformes, Phasianidae. The record is from Ensembl.